Molecule: ribosomal RNA, 511 nt
Filed under: uncultured bacterium
Lineage: Bacteria
Description: bacterial SSU rRNA
Rfam family: Bacterial small subunit ribosomal RNA
Source: RNAcentral
GCCUACACAUGCAAGUCGAGCGCUUCACUUUCGGUGAGGAGCGGCGAACGGGUUACCCCCUCGUGGGAACGUACCCAAAGGUAGGGAAUAGCCACUGCCCAACGGUGAGUAAUGCCCUAUGUGCCCUUCGGGGGAAAGAUUUAUCGCCUUUGGAUCGGCCCGCGUUAGAUUAGGUAGUUGGUGGGGUAAUGGCCUACCAAGCCUACGAUCUAUAGCUGGUUUGAGAGGAUGAUCAGCAACACUGGGACUGAGACACGGCCCAGACUCCUACGGGAGGCAGCAGUGGGGAAUCUUAGACAAUGGGCGAAAGCCUGAUCUAGCCAUGCCGCGUGAGUGAUGAAGGCCUUAGGGUCGUAAAGCUCUUUCGCCAGGGAUGAUAAUGACAGUACCUGGUAAAGAAACCCCGGCUAACUCCGUGCCAGCAGCCGCGGUAAUACGGAGGGGGUUAGCGUUGUUCGGAAUUACUGGGCGUAAAGCGCACGUAGGCGGAUUAGAAAGUUGGGGGUGAAAU